UUCGGCGGGCCCGCCUUAACUGGCCGCCGGGGGGCUUACGCCCCCGGGCCCGCGCCCGCCGAAGACACCCUCGAACUCUGUCUGAAGAUUGUAGUCUGAGUGAAAAUAUAAAUUAUUUAAAACUUUCAACAACGGAUCUCUUGGUUCCGGCAUCGAUGAAGAACGCAGCGAAAUGCGAUACGUAAUGUGAAUUGCAAAUUCAGUGAAUCAUCGAGUCUUUGAACGCACAUUGCGCCCCCUGGUAUUCCGGGGGGCAUGCCUGUCCGAGCGUCAUUUCUGCCCUCAAGCACGGCUUGUGUGUUGGGCCCCGUCCUCCGAUCCCGGGGGACGGGCCCGAAAGGCAGCGGCGGCACCGCGUCCGGUCCUCGAGCGUAUGGGGCUUUGUCACCCGCUCUGUAGGCCCGGCCGGCGCU
Molecule: ribosomal RNA, 413 nt
Filed under: Penicillium sp. NY7953a
Lineage: Eukaryota; Fungi; Ascomycota; Eurotiomycetes; Eurotiales; Aspergillaceae
Description: eukaryotic LSU rRNA
Rfam family: 5.8S ribosomal RNA (bases 121-273)
Source: RNAcentral